AUGCCAGGCCGGUGCUCCCAGGAGAAGGGCACCGCGGAGGCCCGGAGCGGGGAGAGGAAGCGGUGGUGGAACGGCGAGGGCGCCGGGGAGAAGGGGGCGAAGGAGAAGGACGCGGAGGAAGACGACGCCGACGACGCCGACGAGGACGAGGAGGUGGGAGCGGACGACGGCUUCGGGGACGUGAGGAGGCGCUGGCGCCGGCGGCUGGACGGAGAUUUGCGCGCCGGGGCCGGGAGCGGCGACGGCGAGGAGGGGGUAGGCGGGUUGGGCAUUGCAAAGAAGCUGUGGUUUGUGGUGCCGUGGUGUGGUGUGGAGUUUCGGAGCUCGAGUGUGGGGCUUGUGGUCUUUUAUGGUUGGGUCAUGGCGUCGGCGCGCGCGCAAAUGGGGGCGCGGUCUGCCUGGCUAGCUCCGCCACGUGGCAUGGCAUGA
Molecule: ribosomal RNA, 429 nt
Filed under: Triticum aestivum (bread wheat)
Lineage: Eukaryota; Viridiplantae; Streptophyta; Magnoliopsida; Poales; Poaceae
Description: partial small subunit ribosomal RNA
Source: RNAcentral